RNAcentral lists this ribosomal RNA (464 nucleotides) under Finegoldia sp. oral taxon D24. Its description in RNAcentral is "bacterial SSU rRNA". It matches the Rfam family "Bacterial small subunit ribosomal RNA", at positions 28 to 494 of the family's 1533-position model. Lineage: Bacteria; Bacillati; Bacillota; Tissierellia; Tissierellales; Peptoniphilaceae. The record is from RNAcentral.
GACGAACGCUGGCGGCGUGCUUAACACAUGCAAGUCGAACGGGAUUUAGUAGACAGAAGCCUCGGUGGAAGAUUACUAAUGAGAGUGGCGAACGGGUGAGUAACGCGUGAGCAACCUGCCUAUGACAGUGGGAUAGCCUCGGGAAACCGGGAUUAAUACCGCAUAAAAUCGUAGAAACACAUGUUUUAACGGUCAAAGAUUUAUCGGUCAUAGAUGGGCUCGCGUCUGAUUAGCUAGUUGGUGAGAUAACAGCCCACCAAGGCGACGAUCAGUAGCCGGUCUGAGAGGAUGAACGGCCACAUUGGAACUGAGACACGGUCCAAACUCCUACGGGAGGCAGCAGUGGGGAAUAUUGCACAAUGGGGGAAACCCUGAUGCAGCGACGCCGCGUGAACGAAGAAGGUACUCGUAUCGUAAAGUUCUGUCCUAUGGGAAGAUAAUGACAGUACCAUAGAAGAAGCUCC